Molecule: long non-coding RNA, 963 nt
Filed under: Homo sapiens (human)
Lineage: Eukaryota; Metazoa; Chordata; Mammalia; Primates; Hominidae
Description: HSALNT0089581
Source: RNAcentral
CGACGACCUGCGGGCCCUCGCGCCCGGGCCGGCAACUCCCUGGGAGCUCGGCCCGCGCGGGGAACUCGCCCAGCAGCCUGUGUUUCUCGAGUGUGGGCAGCCGGCUCCCGGGCGUCCCUCCCACCGGCUGCGGGGGCCCGGGACUGGGCGGUAGUGGAGGCAGGUCCUUGGACUGCAGGCUGAGGCUUUUUCCCCCCACGAGCGGUUUGGGCCCUCCAGGAGCCCCUGCGCGGGGGUCACGUGGAUUACGCUAGGUGAGAGCCGGAGAGGCUGCGCCACCGUCGGGAGGCUCCCUGCCUCCGCCCUUUGUCCUUUGCCCCUGACCAUGAGCGCCCCAAGCCCAGGGACCUCCUUAGGGGGAUGAAGGCUGGAAGAGACCUGGGGGCUCAGACUUACGGGGAAGGAACCUAGGCUAUUCCUUGUGCAUCCCAGGAUUUUACCCAUGAACGUGAACAUGAACGUGUUUUCAACCCCAGCGGUUCCCCUGGCGCCUCGACCCUCCUUUGAAGAGUCAUUCUAGAAGGCUGUAUUGCGAUAGUGUUUGUACCUGUCACUGUGAGCCCUGAAAAGAGACAGAAGAAAACGCGAGUGCCUGGCCUGAGGGUGCUCCGUCCCGUGGGUAGCCAGGGCACUCCACUUCAGCAUUCUCCUGUGGUGUAACAUUACCUGCCACUCAUGCUGGUUCCCAUGCGCCAAGCUAAUUUCAACAACGGGUGAAGUGGGUAUCUCCAUGUGAUGGCUGAGGAGACAGAUUCUGGGUGUUGCUACUAAGCCUCAUGGAGGCAGCCAUGACAGAGCAGAGCCUUCUGUCCUCCUGUUCCAGGUCAGCAGCCUCUCCCAAGGCAGGACUCCAUGGGCCAGCCUCUUUCCUCCCCCACCCUGCUUCUUCAGGCCAGCUCUUAUUUGGUCUGACAAUAAGUCUGAGAGAGGACUCCUCUUGUUGGGGGCUAACUUCAACACCAG